GAUGAACGCUGGCGGCGUGCCUAAUACAUGCAAGUCGAGCGAACAGAUGAGGAGCUUGCUCCUCUGACGUUAGCGGCGGACGGGUGAGUAACACGUGGAUAACCUACCUAUAAGACUGGGAUAACUACGGGAAACCGGAGCUAAUACCGGAUAAUAUAUUGAACCGCAUGGUUCAAUAGUGAAAGACGGUUUUGCUGUCACUUAUAGAUGGAUCCGCGCCGCAUUAGCUAGUUGGUAAGGUAACGGCUUACCAAGGCAACGAUGCGUAGCCGACCUGAGAGGGUGAUCGGCCACACUGGAACUGAGACACGGUCCAGACUCCUACGGGAGGCAGCAGUAGGGAAUCUUCCGCAAUGGGCGAAAGCCUGACGGAGCAACGCCGCGUGAGUGAUGAAGGUCUUCGGAUCGUAAAACUCUGUUAUUAGGGAAGAACAAAUGUGUAAGUAACUAUGCACAUCUUGACGGUACCUAAUCAGAAAGCCACGGCUAACUACGUG
This 497-nucleotide ribosomal RNA is filed under the name uncultured bacterium. RNAcentral's name for it is "partial 16S ribosomal RNA". It matches the Rfam family "Bacterial small subunit ribosomal RNA", at positions 28 to 507 of the family's 1533-position model. The record is from RNAcentral.